RNAcentral lists this ribosomal RNA (561 nucleotides) under Alternaria tenuissima. RNAcentral's name for it is "eukaryotic LSU rRNA". The stretch from base 196 to 349 matches the Rfam family "5.8S ribosomal RNA". The record is from RNAcentral. Lineage: Eukaryota; Fungi; Ascomycota; Dothideomycetes; Pleosporales; Pleosporaceae.
UCCGUAGGGUAACCUGCGGAGGGAUCAUUACACAAAUAUGAAGGCGGGCUGGAACCUCUCGGGGUUACAGCCUUGCUGAAUUAUUCACCCUUGUCUUUUGCGUACUUCUUGUUUCCUUGGUGGGUUCGCCCACCACUAGGACAAACAUAAACCUUUUGUAAUUGCAAUCAGCGUCAGUAACAAAUUAAUAAUUACAACUUUCAACAACGGAUCUCUUGGUUCUGGCAUCGAUGAAGAACGCAGCGAAAUGCGAUAAGUAGUGUGAAUUGCAGAAUUCAGUGAAUCAUCGAAUCUUUGAACGCACAUUGCGCCCUUUGGUAUUCCAAAGGGCAUGCCUGUUCGAGCGUCAUUUGUACCCUCAAGCUUUGCUUGGUGUUGGGCGUCUUGUCUCUAGCUUUGCUGGAGACUCGCCUUAAAGUAAUUGGCAGCCGGCCUACUGGUUUCGGAGCGCAGCACAAGUCGCACUCUCUAUCAGCAAAGGUCUAGCAUCCAUUAAGCCUUUUUUCAACUUUUGACCUCGGAUCAGGUAGGGAUACCCGCUGAACUUAAGCAUAUCAAUAA